AUGCCCUUUUCGCGUGCGACACAGGCAUAUGGGGAACACGGCUCCAAGGACAAUGUCCAAGGCACGACAGCGCAGAUGCACCCGCAGCUUCUUCACCAACAGAGCUUCAGUCCUGGUAAUGUGAACGACAGGGAUUCAGAGGAAUCCUUUCUGCUUCCAGCCCCAGUAACAAUACCCGUACUACAAUCGGUACUUCGCCGUGUAAGCAGCAUGACCCCUAGUGGGUACCAGUGGCUGUCUGGAGGGGAAGAUCAUGGGCAAGUUCAAAGUCACGGGCACAGACGGGAGUUCCCAUCAACUUGCAGGAGGGAAGGAUGGAUCACAAGAGGAUGGACCCUCGCUGGCAUGGGCUGAAGCUACAUCCACAAGCAGAAUUUCUCUGUAAGAGUGUGGUAAGCAGAAUUCUAAGAAUGAUUUUACCCUCAGACAAUCACUUCCCUUUUGAGGGUGCGGGGAAUCUGUGAAUGUGAAAAGAUAUCACUACUAUGACGAUGCUAUGUUAUCAUCUACGGCAAAGGGGAGGUUGUCUGGAUGGCCCUGCUCUAGUCACAUGAGACCUUUAAAAGCAGAGUUUUCUCCAGCUGGGUGAAAGAUGAGGAAGGAAGAGAUUUGAAGCCCAAGAGUGAUUGCUGGUUUUGAAAAUGGGGCCGGCGGGGUGGGGGGGUGGGGGGGCACAUGCCACAGAAUAUGUGUGUCCUCUAGGAACUGAGAAACGCUCUCAUGCAACAGCCAGAGAGAAAGUGAAGCCCCCCAUUUUAUAGCCACACGGAUCUGAAUCUGAAGACUCUACCCCACAGCCUCCAGAUGAAAGCUCAACCAGAUAACACCUUGACGUCAGCCUUGUGAGGCCCUGAGCAGAAAAUCCAGUCGAACUUGCCUGUACUUCUACCUAAAGAGCUGCGAGGUAAUCAAUGGGUGUGUUUUAAGCUGCAAAGUUGGGAUAAUUUGUUUGGCAGCCUUAUGCAAUGAACAUUUGUGUCCCCUCAAAACUCAUAUGCCGAAGCCCUAACCCCCAAUGUGGCUGUAUUUGGAGCACAAGAAUAAUUAAAGUUAAAUGAGGUCAUAAGGUUCAAUAAGAUCAAUGUCCUUAGAAGAUAAACACCAGAGAGCAAGCGUGCUCCCCCCUCCCCUCCCCCUUCCUCUCUCUCCCUCUCUCUUUCUCUGUGUGUGUGUGUGUGUAUGUGUGUGUAUACACAUAGAUAUAUGUACAUACAUACAUACAUACAUAAAUGGCAGGAGCAGACAUCCUGGUCUUCAGUCUUUCAUUACUAAAUAUGAUGAUACUUGUAAGUUUUUCAGAUAUUCUUUAUCCGACUGAGGAAGUUCUUUUCCAUUCCUAGUUGUUGAGUCUUUUUAUCAUGAAGAGGUGUCGAAUUUUAUCAAAUUAUUUUUCUGGGGAAUCCCUGGGUGGCUCAGCAGUUGAGCACCUACCUUUGGCCUAGGGCAUGAUCCUGGGGUCCUGGGAUCAAUUCCCACAUCGGGCUCUCUGCAUGGAGCCUGCUUCUGUCUCUGCUGUGUCUCUGCCUCUCUCUCUCUCCCUCUCUCUCUCUCUGUCUCUCAUGAAUAAAUAAAUAAAAUCUUUUUAAAAAAUUAUUUUUCUGCACCUAAUAAGAUAAUCGUGUGGGUUUUUCCCUUUAUUCUAUUUAUAUAGUGUAUUACAUUAAUUGAUUUUCAGAUGGUCAACUGAUCUUCCUUGCCCAGAAUUGAUCCCACUUGGUCAUUGUAUAUGAUCCUUUUUUUAUACUUCAGAAUUUGGGUUGCUAGUAUUUUAAGAUUUUUUUGUGCUUGUAUUCAAUAAAGAUACUCAUUGCUAGUGUUUUCUUUUCUUAUGAUAUCUCUGUUUGGUUUUUAAUCAGGGUUUCUGCUUGGAAAUUUGGGGGAAAUUUUUACCACAGUUCAAUCUGCCACACAGUUCAUUCCUUGCCAUAGUUGUAUUCAGAUUAUGUAUUUAUUUCUCGAAUUGGUUUCAGUAGUGUACAUCUUUCCAGGAAUAUGUACAUUUCACCUAUGUUACCUAAUUUAUCGACCUACAGUUGUUCAUAGCAUUCCUUUAUAAUCCUUUCUUAUUUCUUUAAAGGUGAGGUGAUGUCCCCUCUUUCAUUCUAGAUUUAAUCAUUUGAGUCCUUGGUCGCUCCAGCCAGAGCUUUACCAAUUUUGUCGAUAUUCUCAAAGAAAACCAACUUUUGGUUACAUUGAUUGUCUCUAUUGACUUUCUAUUCUCUAUUUCAUUUAUCUCUGCUCUAGUCUUCAUUUUUUCCUUCUGCUAGCUUUGGAUUAGUUUGCUUUUCUUUUUAUUCUCCUUCAGGUAUAAACUUAGGCUAUUGAUUUGCGAUCUUCUGUAAUGUAGGCAUUUAAGACUAUAAAUUCCCAAUUUCCCUUGAAGCACUAUUUCAGUUGCAUCUUGUAAGUUUUGGUAUUUUGUGUUUUCAUUCUUCUCAAAGUAUUUUCUAAUUUCCACUUGUUUAGGAGUGUGUUGUUUAAUUUCCGUGUUUGUGAAUUCUCAAUUUUUCUUUCAAUUUUUUUUCUGUUAUUGAUUUCUAGUUUCAUUCCAUUCCAUUAGGUUCAGAAAAUAUACUCUCUAUGAUUUAAAGUUGUUGUAAUUUGUUUAAGGCUUAGCAUAUCGUCUAUUUAAAAAUUAUUCCAUGUGCACCUGAGAAAAAUGGGAAUCCUGCUAUUGUUGGGCAGAGUAGUCUAUAGAUGUCUGUUAGGGGCAGUUGCCUUAUGGUUUUGUUCAAGCUUCCAUUUCAUUACUGAUCUUCUGCUUGCCAUUCUGCCCACUACUGGAAGUGGGGAGUUGAAGUCUCUAUUAUUUUUGAAUUGUCAGUUCUCCCUUUGGUUCUGUCAGAUUUAGCUUUGCACAUUUUGUGUAUAUACAAACACACACAUACAAAUACAGAUAUAUAAAUAUAUAUACGGGUAUAUAUAUAUUUGCUAAGACCUUGUCAUCAUACCUUCCAUUACAUCUUUAAGUGCUGUUUCCUUUAGUUCCUUAAACAAAUUUAUAAUAGUUGAUUCAAAGUCUUUGCUAAGACCAACAUCUGGGUCCUCUCAAAGGCUACUUCUGUUACCUGCUCUUUUUCUUUCAUACUAAUCACAUUUUCCUGCUUCUUUGCAUGUUCAUGAUUUUUUUGUUGAAAACUGGACAUUUUGGAUAAUAGACCAUAGCAUCUCUGCAUUUUGAUUUCCCACCAGCACCUCUCUGGGUCUGUCUUGUUUUUACUACUGUUUAUGUGUUUAUUUAUUUAGUGAUCUGACUAGACCAUUUCUGUGAGGUUUAUUUCCCCCACGGAGCACGGCCUCUGAUAAAACUUCUCAGAAGGCACACUCUUAGAGACACUCACAGUCACCCUGAAGUGACAGUUGUUUUAUCAGCACUCUCUUUGGUUGUGUCAUUCCUUGAUCUCUUGUUAGCUUUUUAGCUUCCUGUUCAUCCUGCCUCUACUGCUCACACUCAGCUAUUAGCCACCACAAACUGGUGUCUGAGGUCCAUAUUGUUCUUCACAAUGCCUGUUGCUGCAAAGUGUUCCCCAAUCCAAUCCAAUUAAAUCAGACCUCUUUGCAGAGACAGUCUUUGAGGCCAGUCUGAAGAUUGUUCCAGUCCCAGAAGAGUUCUUCCUAGCUGUCCUUUUCUCCAAAUCUUUCACAGUUCUACUUCUAGCUGUCCUUCAGUUUAGCUUACUGCUGUUGUGGAGUUAUUAACCUCCUCAUAAUUGUUUGCUACCAGAACUUCCAUUCCUUUUGAUAGCACCCUUACAUGAAUUUGACCACACUCUGUCCCAAAUAAGACUUAUGUCCUUAGGAAGAGCUAUGGAGCCCUCUGUUCUUACAGGUUGCCUCUCUCUGGUAAGACUUCUGGGCCAUUGUUCUGGAGCUGAGGGCAGAGAAAAGGCCCUGCUUCUCUUGGAGCAACAUCCUGCUCUGUCAGUGGGGCAUCAGAGAACAGUGGCUCUGGUUUUCUUGAUUUGCUUCUCUUCCUGUCUCAGAACCUUGACCUCAUGAACGAAGGUUCUGGUAUUCUAUGCCAGCCUGGGAUAGAAUCUCUGCAACCUGAAGCUUGGGAUGACCAAUGAGAAAUUUUGACAGCUUACUCCUCCAAGGAAGAAACUAUAGCCCUAGACUGAGAGAUGGGGCAGUGGAAGCCCUUCUUGGCCAUACUCAUUUGGAGUAGAGCUUCUAUCACAUUGAGCUAUGAGGGGAGGGAUGGCCUAUGGCUCAAAUGCCACAGAAUCCUUCUUAUAGAGAGUUACUACAUUCCCUUAAAUAAAUAUUUUCCCACACACUAUAUGCCCUUAGGACAAUUUCCAGAAACUUUAGACUAUUGUUUUUCACAUUUUUCAUGAGUUGUAUGGUUG
This 4352-nucleotide long non-coding RNA is filed under the name Canis lupus familiaris (dog). RNAcentral's name for it is "lncRNA (ENSCAFG00040015823.1)". The record is from RNAcentral. Lineage: Eukaryota; Metazoa; Chordata; Mammalia; Carnivora; Canidae.